This 209-nucleotide long non-coding RNA is filed under the name Lathyrus oleraceus (garden pea). RNAcentral describes it as "Pisum sativum (pea) long non-coding RNA (PSAT_LNC000669)". The record is from RNAcentral. Lineage: Eukaryota; Viridiplantae; Streptophyta; Magnoliopsida; Fabales; Fabaceae.
ACAACCCUAAAACCAAAGGUUAGUACGGACUCUCUUUAGGGAAAGUAUAAGAAUUCCCCAACAUAGUUACCAGCUGUCGCGGCUGGAAAAUUACAGAGUCGCCACCAUCCUUUAUUCGUUCCUAAGAAACAUGAAAAUAAUGAGAAUACUUGAUAACUAAGGGUGAGAUGCUAGAUUUGGGAGUCAGAUAAGUAAGGGGAAGGUACUAG